Long non-coding RNA from Hordeum vulgare subsp. vulgare (domesticated barley), 1105 nucleotides. RefSeq lists it as uncharacterized. The record is from RefSeq and is a predicted model, not a curated record. The transcript is spliced from 4 exons. Lineage: Eukaryota; Viridiplantae; Streptophyta; Magnoliopsida; Poales; Poaceae.
CUCGACCGGCUCCUCCUCCUUUCGUCCUGCACAGGACAGAAGAAGAAAACGCAUGGUACUCCGGUGUGGUGGCUGAAGGUACGACGACCGGCUCCUCCUCCUCUCCUGAAGAAAUGGACAAUACCGAAGUCAUCUCUAUGAGUGGGAGCUCCGCAUAGAGUGGGGACAUUGUAUGGACUCCUUCCAAGACCAACAAGAUGUUGGGGUUUUUCGCUGACCUUCUUGCUAAAGGGAAGAUGACUUCUAGUGGAUUCAGGGAGGCACAUCACAAACAUUGUGCUGCUGUUUUGAAUGAGCAGUUCAAACUAGCUGUCACUUGAUAACAAGUUAGAAACCAUCUCAAGAAAUGGAGGAAGAUUUGGGGAAGGGUAGUCAACUUGAAGAAUUUAAGUGGAGCUCUAUGGGAUGAAGAUACUUGCACAAUUAGGCUUAGCGAAGAACACUAUGUAGGUUGUUGCAUGACACACAAAGCUGAUGCCCCUUUCCUGAAUACCCCAAUUGAACACUAUCAUGCCACGGAGACCAUUUUUGGGACAACCGCGGCUACUAGGAUAAAUGCUAGGUCUAGGAAUGAUCUACUUUCUAUUGAUGUGGACGAUGAAGACAAUGGUGAGGUGAACACAUCACCCAAUGUUGGCCAGUCCAAACACCCCAAAGGACCACCAAAAAAGAAGGCAAAGGUAGUGAAUGUUCUUGAAGAUCCACUUGUUACCACUCUCAACUAUGGGUUCAAACAUGUGGGUGAUGCUCUUGUGAAGUCUGGGGAUGAUGGUGCUAUACCCGAUGAACUUUGGGAUGAGGUCUACAAGUUGGAAGCUUUUGAUGAGGAACAACUAGCCCACUACUAUGCUCAUCUUGUUGACAAUCCAAAGAUCGUAAAAGCCUUCAUGACACUUUUUGAAACCAACAAAUCUGUUUGGGUGAGUAGGUAUGUGAAUAAAAACUUCUAAAUUCAAUACGGUUGUAUGGUUCUCAAGUAUGUGAACUUGACAUGUAUGGAUGUGCUGCCAUUUGGUUGCUUUUGGAUAUUUGGUAUGUGAACAACAUGUAUGGCUAGUGCACUUUGCUUUGGAUUGUAUUGAACCAAGACAUGUAAUGGUUGAUU